AUUGCUGUAGAUUCAGACAGAUUGUGUGUCUAGUAGCAUACUGUAUGCAACUGGUUUCUUUCUGCUUUUUGACAAUUCUAUAAGCAAGGCGUGUGGCCAGUAAAGGCAGUUAUUCAGAAUGUAGUUCAAUAGUUUUAUUCAUGGUUGAUAUGUGCUUCUCUUACAUUUUCCUGAGAAGAAAAAAAAUACACAGACAUCCCUUUCAAUAGAACUAGAGGGGAAAGUGGUAGGAAAGUAAAUAUUCAAUCUGUUGGUAAGUGAUAAACGUGCAUGACCUAGGGUCAAUCUCUGUCGCAGUCUAUGCUUGUAUGAUGCUCUACCAAACCAUCCUCACAUCACCUACCUCAACCCGUAUAUAUUGUGAGACAUUCUGCAUAAAAAAAAAAAAAGAAAGUACAUCUCAUAGAUCACAUGACCUGUUUUGAAGCAAGUUAAAGAACAGAGAGCUAAUUUGAAAGUGUUGGUAGCUUCCAUUCAGUGUUUGGGAUUUGUGUUGGGUUUUUUAAUGCUGAAGUGAGGACAUUUAUUGAAUGUUACAAUUAUAUAUAUAUAUUUUUUUUUUUAUAUUUUAGGUCUAGUGUCUGUACAUUUCAUAACUGUUUUAAUGGACACUAUUAAUCUGAUUGAUGUAGAAGGGGUUAAUUAAAUGUCUUGCAUUUGGCUCUUGUUGGGCUGGUUUAUGCUACAUGAACGUAAUGCAGUCAUUAUGCAUAACAAUGGAACUGAGGCACAAUAAGUUUUUGUGUCUACAGAUAAGAUUUGCUUUGAAAAGGUGGCAGUAAUCCGUAACUAUGACACUACCUACCAUUAGCAAGCUACUUAUAGUAUGAACAUUUUACAACAAUGUCAGACCUACCAAAUUCCAAAAUUAUUGUUCCUUUUACGAAUUAAAACCUCAUCAGUCAGAAAGAACCGCUCUAGCUGGUCACUUCUGUUAGGCCAACUCCCCUGACUUGUUUCAAUAUUUGAGUGGUCUGAUAAAAAUCCAGGUCGAUGUAGGACUCUUGACUUCAUAUUUGUAGGAUUAUAAGAGGCUGGGAUAUGGCCAGCCUAACAUUUAUCGCCGGUCACUGAAAACUUGUUUGAUGGGUAAUGGGGUUGUUCCUUCUGCAUUAGCAAAGUCACAGGAAAGGUUCAAACCAGAGCAAUAGUACCCAGACUAUUUGAAAAAUACCGACACUCUGCUGUAGUGGUUAUGAUACUCAUUGUCCUUAAUGUUCCCGUGACAUUAUUCCAGAAAUACUAAACAUUUUUCAAAGGAUGUCUUUCACUUUACAUGGAUGUUUGACCUUUCUGAUGGUUUUAAUUGGGUUGUAGGCACCUCAAUAGCAAUAUAUUUUAAGUAUAGAUUCAUUGAUCUGAAAUACUAUUUAAGUAUCAUAACCUCUUUUUGAACCAAGAGAUGCGCACACACUUGUAUACUAUAUACUAUAUAAAUCAUGAUUAAGAGGCAAGUACCACUGCACGAAUCAUCCAUUAGGAUCUGUGCCUAAUUAUAAUAAAAAGUACCAAUAAAACACUGUUUAUAAGUGGUACAUGAAUGGGGCCUGUGACUUUUAAAUCCAGAUUGUGAAUUUAGCUUCACUAUCUAAAACUAAUUCAUUAUUUUUCAGAUGUCCUGAAAGAAAACGACUAUGUAGGUAUGGGACAUAUCCGCACCAGUGUUGUUGUAAGCAAUAAUUUGGUUAUUUUAAAGCAGAUUGAGUCAUUCUUUAGCUGCAGACAAAGAGAAUGUAAUUUAGGGACAAUUAUUCAACUUAAACUAUUUGUUGCUGUAUAGUUGGUGUUUUAAAUAUUACUGGUUUGCUGGCUGCAUCUUAGUCUAUAGUUCGGUGUACAAUUAUCAGAAAUUUUGUUUUAAAACAGGACUGGCAUUCAGUUUGCUUACAUCCAAAACCUCUCUCCAUUUCAUUGCAAAAAGGCAGAUAUGAUCAAUCGGAAAGGAUUGCUGCCUUCAUUACAUUGCCAGAAGUUAAAGGGUUACUUCAACCACAGUGUUUUAAUUGAACAGCUUAUAGAUGGACUAAGCUUUGCUGGAAUGAUACUACCUGAAUAGACACUUACCUGCGAUCCCGCUCUGUGUCCAAGUUCUCCUUUCCACCUGAUCCUCACAUGGUGAUUUUACUCCAUCACUUUAUUGGACAGGCUGAGUGGAGGACUUAGGGACAAUGCCAUCGUUGGUCAUCUGGCUGCAGCAUGCUAUGUGUGCACAAUGUUAACAGUAGCAAGCCUAGAACAAUUGUUCAGGGCUGGUUAAUGGUACUGCUGUAUAUGGACAUCCCUGGCAGCAAUGUGCGAUAUCACUGCUUCAAACUUAAAAUUCUGCACAUGCAGGCUCAACGCAUCAUGACCACUUCAAAAUACUGAAGUGGUCAUGGUGUUUGCAGUGACCCUAGAAUAAAUAAGUUGUAUAGUUUAAAUAGGCAUGUACCCUGAAUACAGCUUAUUUUAACUACCACUGUAUUGAAUUCUACAUCACUUAACCAGCUGUCCAGUACUGAAUACUGGUAGGCGUUUAAGAUAAGUACCGAUUACAUGGCAGAGCAUUUGAUUAAACUAUGGCAAGUAGCACAGACCUUCCAUAAUCAAAAUCUUUGAUUUAAAACCAACUUUUACGUGGUAUACCCUAAAACAGAGGUGCCCAAAAGGUAGAUCCCCAGAUGUUUUAAAAUUAUAGCUUCCAUGAUGCUUUGUCAUUCUAAAGGCAUGCAAAGUACUAUGGUAGUUAUAUUUCUACAACAUCAGAGGAUCUACCUUUUUGGGCAACCCUGCCCUAAAGUCACUGUGAUACAUCACAUUUCCAUUGCAAUUUGCUACAUCUUGUGUUAGCCACAUAUUAAUUGGUAGAGAUUUAUAGAGAUAUCAUAUAGCUAAUGUCAAUGCUAGUCACUUGACAGUUUUUGUUCCCUUACCGGAAAUGGUAUAUAUAGACUCAAGUACAAAAUAUUCUGGUGAAUGUCAAAUGGGCCAUAGAAUGUCUAUUUGGCUUUCAUAAAGGUAGCCACAUGGUUUGUGAUCACUAUAGGUAUUACUGCUGCACCCCUUCUUUAUUUUUUACCUCUGUAUUUUAGAGGGAGAACACUGGAUUAUUAUUUUAGCUGCAUAUAGUGCUCCAACGUAUUUGUAAUUGGUUUCAACUAGUAAUUCCUUUCUAUAAAAAGAUUGAUGGGAAGAGAGAUGAGUUGCAACAACUCUACAAGACUACCACAUCAAAGUAGCAAAUCAAACAUUGUUAAAGGGAUACUAGACAGCUUUAGCUUAAUGCGGUGGUUUUGGUGUAUAGCUCCUGCCCCUGCAGUCUCAAAUGUAACAGCACAGUGUGUUACUUUCUAAGUGAUUUUAUCCAUUUCUGUUAACUAAAAUUUACUCACACAAAGCUUCUGAAGGUUAUAGCAGAUAAUUAACAAAAACAUUUAAAACUAAUAUUAAACACCUUAUGACUUACAGGAAGUUUAAAAAUUAGAUCUCUCUGCAGGAAGUCUAUAUGGAAACAGUGUGACUGCAGGGGCAAGAUCUAUAAACCAAAACCACUUAUUUAAGGUAAAGUUGUUUUAGUGCUAAUAGUGUUCCUUUAGUCACAUUUUUAUAGCACUUUAUUGCCAUAGACUUUUCACCCUAUAGAUUGUGUCAUGUUCACAUAAUUGCAAUUUGUUUUUUUACUUUACCAAAAGGCUAAGAAUGUUAAAAUAUAACUGCCUUUGAUACAUCUUCAAUAUUCCUUAGUGGCUCCCAGGAUAGAACCACUGCUCUAUAGGUAGAGACAUGGUGAAACAAUGUAAAAUUGAUAUGCAUUUUGUGCAAAGGCUUAGAUUACAAAUGUAUCCACUAAAUAGUGAACUGCACUUGUGUCAAAUUAAACAGAAUGUUUUCUAUACAGCUUUCAUUUUGGCUAAAAACAUUGCAGUUCAUGUUAAUUUACUGUUUAGUAAAUACAGUCCUCAGAUUUAUAAAUAAGAAUGGAACAGUAAGCAUUUGGUCUACUCUGCCUUUGUCAAGAGCAGACCAUUGUGACACCUUUUUUGCACAAAUAACCAAUGGCCAACUCUUUAACCACCUUCCUUAGUAAUGUUCUCUUCCAAUCUUACUGGGUUGUUGGGUGAUUUCAUUAGAAUCUUGUCAAACUGCUCCUGUUACACUGUGUGAUAUCAGACUUGGGAUUAAAAACCAUGUUAACACAAACUAUAUUAAUUAAGCCUGGAUUCAUGUGUUUUCUGUGGCUAAAUGAGUAAUGCCUUGAGGAUUUCACCAGGCUUCAUAAAAAUAAACAUUUUCUUCCAUUUAAGUUGGACUGGGAAUAUGUACUCCAAUCAUUUCAAUACACAUUAGUAUAUGCUGGUCAUUUUUAAAUCUCAUUCACACAUAUCCUUUGCCCAACGGCCUGUGUGUAGUAGUGACUCUGUCCUAGUUAAUUUCCUUUGAAAUGGAUAGCUGACAGGGCUGUGGAUUGUUGGAUACAAAGUAAUGUUUAUCCAUGUUCUUGAAGAGGAAAAAUUGUGUAAUUGGGAGGGGGUAGAAGUCAUGUUUUUAUGAGUUUUGUAAAUCUCUACUCUUU
Molecule: non-coding RNA, 4552 nt
Organism: Pelobates cultripes (western spadefoot toad)
Lineage: Eukaryota; Metazoa; Chordata; Amphibia; Anura; Pelobatidae
Source: the annotation of a GenBank genome assembly